AAGUGCAUACGACAUGAAAUUUCUUAUUUUCUUAAAUGAAAGAACUCUUUAAGCUGUAGUGUAACUUAUUUUUCAGUUUCUUGUUUUUAUGGUUUGUUCCCGAGAUAUUUCAAUUUGAUAUGCAAAUGGUGUGAAUAUGUCGCUAAAUUUUGACGUCAUGUUGGUUGCAAGCUCUUCAAAAUGGUUGAAUAUCACUGCUAUCAUCCAAGAUGAUAAUUUCAAACUUCACUCACUGGUAAAUGUGAUGAAACACUGUAGAAAAACGUGAACAGAUAUCUACAGUUUUUAGAUUUAAUAGAUUUAUAACCAAUGUAAGUUGAGCUUGCAACCAACAUGACGUCAUAAAUUAGCGGACAUAUUCACACUCAUUUACAUAUCAAACAAAUUGACCGAAUAUCUCGGGAACAAACCAUUAAAAAAAGAAACCGAAAAAUAAGUUACACUACAUCUUAAAGAGUUCUUUCGUUUAAGAAAAUAAGAAAUUUCAUGUCAUAUGCACUUUAAAGAAAUAAAUUAUCAGUUAAAAAACGGGGGUCACCGAUCUUUUUAGGGAAUUGUGGCAUUAAAACGUGAAAUACAAGUAAAAAAAUACUACAUACACAGGGAACCCUAGCUACACUUUUGUAUGCCUUAUUUGAAAACAUUGAUUUUAACGUGAUUCUUUGCCCGAAUGUAACCAAAGAUGUUUUGAAGUAAUAUAAAUGUCAUAAAAUGAUUUUUUUUAAACAAUACGUAUAAUGAAUGAAAUUAUAAGCUUUAAGAUAUGCGCAGUAAAAGUGCGCAAUGCAAAACUGCGGAAUUACCUUAAUAAUGUUUUAAAAUUAAACUGUAUGGUUAUUAUUAGACAAGUCAGGCGUUGCUUUAAAUGCAUGGACACCAUUUUGUUCACAACGUGUCCUAGUCCUAAGCUGUAGAAACGGACCUCGCAAUUAUCAUGAUGCAACAUUAUAUACUGUAUUACACGCACUUCAUGUAAUACGAAUUAUAGAGGUUUUAUUGCGGAUUGAAGCAUUACAUUUAUAUGGAUUUUUUAAAAGUAAAAGACUUCGGGAGACUUAUGAUUAUACGCUAUUAAGUCGCUAAGGGUUUGAAAAUUUCAUUCAACUGUGUAACGUCAAGUCUUUCACAUUUUAAAAAAAGCAAAGCUAUAUAUUUCCAAUUUCCAGCCAAACUAAAAGUUUACUUUUGUAAGUGCUGCCAUGUUUGUUUUGUUUCGAAGCAAUCUGUGCCGUUACUUGACGACUACUUUAAGCUGAUCGGUUGAUUUUAAUUAAAUCCCGUUGUUUUUUCACCAAUCUGAUCAGUUUGUUAAAGAUUUUUGCACUGUUAGCACGCUAUAGAUUAUAUGAUAAAAACCGCUGUGAACUUAUUUAAUUAUCAGAAUUAUAAGAACACAUUAGAUAAAUCGAUUUUCAACAACUCAACUACAAUCUACAUGUGAAGAUUUUAGCAGUUCUUAAGCACAGAAUUUUGAAGAGAGUGAAAUUUCUUUCUUAAUUAAAACGCCACGAAC
This is a non-coding RNA of Paramuricea clavata, 1513 nucleotides long. NCBI's taxonomy places the organism in Eukaryota, Metazoa, Cnidaria, Anthozoa, Malacalcyonacea, Plexauridae. The record is from the annotation of a GenBank genome assembly.